This is a long non-coding RNA of Xiphophorus couchianus (Monterrey platyfish), 1397 nucleotides long. RefSeq lists it as uncharacterized. The record is from RefSeq and is a predicted model, not a curated record. The transcript is spliced from 2 exons. Lineage: Eukaryota; Metazoa; Chordata; Actinopteri; Cyprinodontiformes; Poeciliidae.
GGUCAACACCAGGCCGAAACACACUCCGAGGACAAAGUAAAGCCCAAAGCUCUCCGGAUUGGCUGCAGAGGAGACACAUACAAGCCAUGAUUUCCCAGAUCUGAAUUCUGUUCAAUGCCUAAAUGCAAACCCACGACUUCUUGGGGGUGGGUGGUGUGAGACCUCCAAGUCUUCAACAAAAGCUUCUCUGUGGCUUCGUGUGGGAUCAUUGUAAUAUAUUUAGAAAAAUUGUCUCUGAACCAUGACUCUUAUUCAAUGCCUUGUGAAAGUAUUCAUGCACCUUGAACUUUUCCAGUUACAAGAACAGACUUCACUGCAUUUCAUCAAAUUUUAUGCACAAAGAAGUGCAUAACUUUAAAAUGGAGAGAAAACAGUGUGGCUUCCAUUAUCUUUUUAAUAACAAAGAAAAUAAAUAAUUUAAUAUUUUUUCUGCCUCACUAUUAUGCAUUACUUUGUGUUGGCCUAGCACUUAAUAUUCCCCCAAAAUACAGUAAAAUUUAUGACUGUAGUGGGACAAAAUGUACAAAAGAUUCAAUGACUUUCAAAACAUAGUAAAUCAGGUAAAGUUCAUUCUUCCAAGUGGUCAGACAGACCUCCUAUGGAUCAGAUAAGACUCCAAGAUGAAUUUGAAAUGAAAAUGUUGUAUUGUUUGGAGGUUGUGUCCCUGACAUUCAAGUGGUCUAUCCUUCCUGCCAGCCUUUCAGUCUGGCGAGCUCUAUUGUGUUUGUCUCCAUUCAUUACGUGCUCUCAUGACUUUUAACACUCUUUAGGAAGUCUUCACUCCUAAAGAAAAAGAUUCACAAAGAAGCCAUGGAGUCGUGAAGGUUCAUUCUCUUUUGAUGCACAAAUUUUAAUGUCCAGCAAUCCUGGUCUGGUGUUUUGUAGGAAGUACAUUUUGUCCUUUCAAAACCACAAUGUUUGUUAUAUUCACCAUCAUUGUUUAUCAUCAUUUUGAAAGUGGAUCUAUUCCUUGAUUUCUUCACUCAGUAGCACUGUGCUGCUGACUGGAUUUUCUCAGAAACUUCACCAUUUUGCAAAGUUUUCUGACCUGAUUACAUCAUAAUCUCGCUCCAUGAAGGUUACCAGACAGUCACCUCAAACUGACUUGUAUUUCGAAGAUAGUUUGUUGAGUAUUUACCACAUAAAAAACAAAGCUAAUUGACUGCUAUGAGGCACUAAUAUAUAGACGCAGCUUAAAGGGAUGAGUUGUUGAAACAUAUUGAUCUCUGCAUUAAACCGAAAUCAGUCAAAAGAUUACUGUAAAAGUGAACUGCUGGUGGGGAGUUUUUUUUAGUAUCUGACGUCAGAACACUGAUCUGGAAAUGACACUAAAACUCGGAGAUCCACUUGGAUUUUCCAAAUGUUGUACUCAGUAAUAAUAAAUAACAUUCAUUAUA